AGGUGUAACGUCACGC
This 16-nucleotide ribosomal RNA is filed under the name Dicranum polysetum. RNAcentral describes it as "partial 26S ribosomal RNA". Lineage: Eukaryota; Viridiplantae; Streptophyta; Bryopsida; Dicranales; Dicranaceae. The record is from RNAcentral.